UUAGAGGCUCCAGCCCCGCCGACUUGCAGACGUGAGAUCGGGCACACCUGAGCGGCGGCGGGGCGGUCGUGGCCACAUCCGGGGCGACGUGCCUGAGUCACCCCGUCCCGCCAGCGUCUGCCAGUCCAGCCAGUCCGCCCAGUCUCUCGCGUCCGAGACUCGCCUCCAGCCUCCCACCUCCGCCCGGGCCGCGCGAGCCUCGCGGGGGCGGGGGCGGGGCGCCAAGGGGCGGGGCUGUCUCUUAAAGGGCCCCGGGCCGCUGCCCUUAGGCCACUUCCUGGGGGCGGAGAGGACCUCAGCGGCUGCGGCGACACCCAGGGAAGGCGGCGCGGCCGGGUCCCGAAACUCCUGGCUGUUUCCAUCAGAGCCCUCGGACACUCCCAGCCCGGGCUGAGCACGCAUCGUCGCUCCCCGGCGGAUACAAGGGGGCUCCGCCAUCCGCUCCCGUCAGUUCGGCCUCCAUCUCCUGGGACCCGCGCCGGCAGCCAGGCCAGGCCUCUGAGUGGCCCCAGAGCCCUGGCUGGACUCGUCCACGGCGGCAGCGAUCUGCCCGGGGUCUCGGAGGCCAUCCCUUCAGAGUCGGCCCUGUGCUCGCCACCGUCACCUGCUGGUUGGAUUCCGGAAACCCACUGUCUGAAGACCACAGAGGGGUGUCGCUGACCACCCCAAAUCGGAUACGUCCAGACCUCAAGCUCCCUUCCCCUCUCUGGCUGCCCUCUGCUCUUUUCAUCUCUUCUCUCAACCUUUUGGGGAUUUCUGUGUCCUGACACCACCUCCCCAUCCACCACCAAAGUAGCCGGGGUGAGCCCCA
RNAcentral lists this long non-coding RNA (811 nucleotides) under Homo sapiens (human). RNAcentral's name for it is "non-protein coding lnc-ACAP1-1:1". Lineage: Eukaryota; Metazoa; Chordata; Mammalia; Primates; Hominidae. The record is from RNAcentral.